ACCCACAAUCCGGCCCCUUCUGUACGUGUAGCUAAGGCAGAGAUUACACACUUCCUUGUUGUCAUACCCAUUCAUACCGUCAGUUGGAGCUCUGACAGGCUAAAAGCAGUCAGCUGACACUCUCAGCCAAUCACAGCUGCCCAUUGCUGCUCAGGGUAAUACUUCCUUAUUAGCCAAAGCAGCACAGAGGGGAUGGACUGCCAAG
Molecule: long non-coding RNA, 205 nt
Filed under: Pelobates cultripes (western spadefoot toad)
Lineage: Eukaryota; Metazoa; Chordata; Amphibia; Anura; Pelobatidae
Source: RNAcentral